CUCUCUCGCGCGACCAGCGGUAGCCUCCACCUCGUUUCUCCCUCUGUUCCAUCAUACCCAACCGUCUCUGUCGGUUUCUCCCUGUUCCUCGGUUCUCUGUCCGUACGACGAAGAAUGUCGCCGGCGUUCGAAUCGAUCGGUCGGUCUCCGCGCGCGCGGGGGGUCCCCCUUCCGUUACUUGCAUCCUCUCCUGCCCCGCAGAAAGAGCCUAUCCUCCCUGCCACCUUCUUCUUCGCCGUUCCCUCGGAUCUCCUCUACCAUAUUCGCCAUCAGCAUUACACGAGCGCACUUAUUUCUUCUCCGCACGCGUAGCCCGAGGAAAUGGCCGAGCAAUUUCGGAUUUGGACUGCCGAGAGAUGAUGGAUCGCCGUUUCGUAGGCCGCCACUGAUGAUACCUCGCAGAUGUAACCUCCACACCCUUUUUCGGACGAAACCACUUGCCGGUGAUUAUCGAUUAAACGCAUUCACGUUACCUCGAUUCUCUGCUCCUCGCGAUUUUCCUCCUAUUUUCUUUUCCUUCCUUUCUUUUCUCGCUUUCGUUACGGAUCCGCUCGACAUCUGGCUCGUGCCAAAACUCUCCUCCGC
This 585-nucleotide unclassified non-coding RNA is filed under the name Bombus terrestris (buff-tailed bumblebee). RNAcentral describes it as "misc RNA ENSBTSG00005024318.1". The record is from RNAcentral. Lineage: Eukaryota; Metazoa; Arthropoda; Insecta; Hymenoptera; Apidae.